This 510-nucleotide ribosomal RNA is filed under the name Scutellospora sp. Scut1. Its description in RNAcentral is "SSU rRNA". It matches the Rfam family "Eukaryotic small subunit ribosomal RNA", at positions 569 to 1078 of the family's 1831-position model. The record is from RNAcentral. Lineage: Eukaryota; Fungi; Glomeromycota; Glomeromycetes; Diversisporales; Gigasporaceae.
AGCAGCCGCGGUAAUUUCCAGCUCCUAAUAGCUAAUAUUAAAGUUGGUGCAGAAAAAAGCUGGUAAGUGGAAUUUCGGGAUUCUACCGUCGGUCGGGCUAACAAGUCUGUACUGGUGUGUAGAAUUUCUACCUUCUGGGGAACUAUCAUGUUAUUAAUUUAGCGUGGUGGGAAACCAUGACCUUUACCUUGAAAAAAUUAGAGUGUUCAAAGCAGGCUUACGUCUGAAUACAUUACCAUGGAAUAAUAGAAUAGGACGGUGGUCCUGUUUUGUUGGUUUCUGAAUCACCGUAAGUGAUUAAUAGGGAUAGUUGGGGGCAUUAGUAUUCAAUUGUCAGAGGUGAAAUUCUUGGAUUUAUUGAAGACUAACUUCUGCGAAAGCAUUUGCCAAGGAUGUUUUCAUUAAUCAAGAACGAAGGUUAGGGGAUCGAAGACGAUCAGAUACCGUCGUAGUCUUAACCAUAAACUAUGCCGACUAGGGAUCGGACGAUGUUAAUUUUUUAAUGACUCG